AGUGAACGCUGGCGGCAGGCCUAACACAUGCAAGUCGAGCGGCAGCGGGUCCUUCGGGAUGCCGGCGAGCGGCGGACGGGUGAGGAAUACAUCGGAAUCUGCCCUGUCGUGGGGGAUAACCUAGGGAAACUUAGGCUAAUACCGCAUACGGCCUACGGGUGAAAGCGGGGGAUCGCAAGACCUCGCGCGACAGGAUGAGCCGAUGUCCGAUUAGCUAGUUGGCGGGGUAAAGGCCCACCAAGGCGACGAUCGGUAGCUGGUCUGAGAGGAUGAUCAGCCACACUGGGACUGAGACACGGCCCAGACUCCUACGGGAGGCAGCAGUGGGGAAUAUUGGACAAUGGGCGCAAGCCUGAUCCAGCCAUGCCGCGUGGGUGAAGAAGGCCUUCGGGUUGUAAAGCCCUUUUGUCCGGGAAGAAAUCGUCUGGGCUAAUACCCCGGGCGGAUGACGGUACCGGAAGAAUAAGCACCGGCUAACUUCGUG
This 484-nucleotide ribosomal RNA is filed under the name uncultured bacterium. RNAcentral's name for it is "partial 16S ribosomal RNA". It matches the Rfam family "Bacterial small subunit ribosomal RNA", at positions 30 to 507 of the family's 1533-position model. The record is from RNAcentral.